CCGUUUACACUAAAGGACACACCCCAAUUCCCCAAAAUCGAUCACUCCCUAGGAGGACCCCAGCAAAAUCACCAUGCCUCUACCUCUCAUUUCCAUAACCCAUCUUAUCAAACAAGCUAAUAAACCCAUUUUUCCAAUCAAAUCGAUACCAUUUUUCUCGUUAGUCCAUGACUCUAAUACGUAAAUCGAUGUCCCUAGCGACUUCAAAAGUGGAAAUUGUUGUCCCAAAACAUUUUCUAUACAAUUCCGCCACCUCCAAUCAUACGGACCUCCUUGUUCCUUAUUUAUGUUCCGUGGAUGGAGUCUAAUUGAUGCCGCAUUUGGAGUUCGAGUUAUGUGGCGCCGAUCGAGGUCCGUUCGUGAUUGAUAGUUCCUGUUGCUUGGCUGGUGUUUGUCAUGGAUUUUUGCCGUCGGAUUUAGUUGUUUGAUUGCGAGUAGAAUUAAUUAAAGGUGCAUUCAGGUUCACUUCUUGUAUGUAUUAUGAAUAAGAAAUUGUUUGUCUACUCUUAUAUGUAUUAUGAAUCAAAGCCAUAAAGGGGAGGCAUUUUAAGAUAUGCUAAUCAGAUGUAGUUUGGGGUUUAAUGGAUUUCUCUUUCUGAUUUUGGCUGAUGGUUAUUGUCACCCCAUGAGUUUCCUUUCGGCGAGUGUCUUAGUUAGAGUUUGAAUGAAUUAAAAUAUGCUUGAUUCCCUGGUUUAGAUUUGUCGUCAUGCUGAUUUCCUUAUGAAUAAUGUUGAAUGAGUUUUCUGUUUGGAAAUAUUGUAAAUGCUGACAGUGCUCGAAAGGUUAAUUCAAGUUCGUUGUGGUAGGCUCUUUAUCUUACUUGGUUCUUCUGUUUGUGGUAGAUUCCUUAUCUAACUUGGUUCUGUUGUUUGAGUUCUCUCCACGUCUUGACUCUUUAAUGUUAAUAUUAUGCUUCGUGUGAGUUGAAAAGUUAUUAUGAAGUUACAUAUAUGAAAAUCGUCAUUAGAGGUAAAUAUGAUUCUGAGUCGAUCUUAAGGACGGAACAAAGUUUGGUACUUCAUGUUUUUUUCAGAAAUGAGAUUUUCGGCAUGUUGGUUUGCUUCUAUCAACUGAUUUGAAUGGGUAACAAGUAGUGAAGAUCUUUCGAUUUGCUUAGAUCGUCAAGUGAAAGAUAAUUUUUCUGAUUGUUUAAGGACCUUGCUUGUCUUAAUGGUUAUUAGAUCAAAUUUUGAAAGCAUAAUAUAGCACUGCUAGUCAUGUUGUCCAGCAUGUCAUUCAUAUUCUAAACUUGUCACAUUGGUUGUCCUAAGAGUUAUUUUCGUUGUGCCUGACCAAAGAAUUCCUACUGAUCCUUUGAACCCCAUGCGCCAAAGUAAUAUUCUGGUGGUCGAAUUUGAUUAAACUUGUGCUCUUUCUUGUUAAAAUAUUCAAAAGCUGAUGAAAUGGUCGUGUAGGGAAUCUUUACUUUUCCCUUCAAUUUUGAAUGCUAAUGCCCAAGUGUUGCUUUGCUUUAUUUGACCGUAUUUAGAUGCUAAUUGGGUAAUGUAUUAUUGUAUGGCCUCAGUUGGUUAAUUUGUAAGUAUAAAAGUGAAGAAAUGUUUGUAUGACGUUGGUUCCAAGGGUUAAAUUUAUGGGCUUUAGGAUCUCACAUAUCAAAAAGGUUAGGAAAAUUGGGUUGGUUAGAAAUCUUUUAAUGGCUCCUCUUAAUGGAUUUGACUCACUUUUUCUUUAUUAUAUUUCAGGCUUUCCUUAGUUCUUAUCUACUGAAUGUUCUUCUGUUUGUAUGCUCCAUUGCUUGACUCUAUCGGAAGAAAUUAUUUGAAAGAUGAAUGCGGGUCGUGCGAGUGGGGAAAGGCCGAGCUUAGUAGUAAUUAAAUUGUUUACAUGUCCUGGGAAUCGAGCUUGGCCAAAUACAUAAAAAUGAAAAUUCAAGUGAAU
This 1900-nucleotide long non-coding RNA is filed under the name Nicotiana tabacum (common tobacco). RNAcentral describes it as "long non-coding RNA (NTAB_LNC015994)". The record is from RNAcentral. Lineage: Eukaryota; Viridiplantae; Streptophyta; Magnoliopsida; Solanales; Solanaceae.